This 255-nucleotide ribosomal RNA is filed under the name uncultured bacterium. RNAcentral describes it as "partial 16S ribosomal RNA". It matches the Rfam family "Bacterial small subunit ribosomal RNA", at positions 74 to 334 of the family's 1533-position model. The record is from RNAcentral.
CAAACCAAAGCUGGCGACCGGCGCACGGGUGAGUAACGCGUAUCCAACCUGCCUCAUACUCGGGGAUAGCCUUUCGAAAGAAAGAUUAAUAUCCGAUAGCAUAUAUUUCCCGCAUGGGUUUUAUAUUAAAGAAAUUCGGUAUGAGAUGGGGAUGCGUUCCAUUAGUUUGUUGGGGGGGUAACGGCCCACCAAGACUACGAUGGAUAGGGGUUCUGAGAGGAAGGUCCCCCACAUUGGAACUGAGACACGGUCCAA